UACCAUCUGUGGUUAGUUAGUUUUAGUGGUAUUGAAUUGAUUCCUGCCACAAAGCCAGAUAUUAUGCUAACUGGUCUGUCACACGUGGUUAUAAUAAUUUCAUGAAACUUAGUCUCUGAUAAGAGAUUUUAAUUAAAACUGAGAGAAGCAGCAAUAGUUAAAUUUAUGCCAAUCAUGUUUUGCAUAAAACGAAGGUUAGUGUUCAUUCAUGAAUCUGAGGACUUUGUGAAUAACAGCAGAUAUCAUUAAUAGUUACCUUAAACUACAGUCAAGAACUUUUUAGAUUUUUCUUUAUAGCAAAUUAUAAUUACUUGUAAAAGUAGCCUUGAGCAGGCAAAUAUUGAACCUUUUUACUGGGAUGUGAUGUUUGUAGAAGUCAGAUUCUAAAGGACAAAAUGAGCAACUUGAAAAAACUAGGUACAAAAUAAUUGUGAUACAUACAUCUCUCUGGUCAUGGCACAUGAUUGGAUAACUUGUACCAAAAUUUCUACCUAUGUAGAUAAAGAAUGAUUUACAGCCCAGCCGGCAUAGCUCAGUGGUUGAGGGUCGACCUAUGAACCAGAAGGUCCCAGUUCUAGUCCUGGUUCGAUUCCUGGUCAGGGCACAUGCACAGGUUGCAGACUUGAUCCUCAGUGUGAGGCAUGCAGGAGGCAGCCAAUCAAUGAUUCUCAUCACUGAUGUUUCUAUCUCUCCUGCUCCCUCUCCCUUCCUCUCGGAAAUCAAUAAAAAUGUAUUUAAAAGUAAAAAAGAAUGGUAUACAGAUUCCAGAUAAAAUUUAGAAGGAGAAAAUGCUCAUCGGGAAGAUGACCAUGACAAACUGAUUUGCAAAAGAAUCCUUGAAGAAGAUUAACAAGCUUUAUCUUUUUAGAAGAAAUGGGCCCACUGCCAGAAUAAAAGAUGUGCGACCACACCUGGAAUACAGCAUCCAGUCCUGAUUGUUCUAUAUCAAGGAAACUAUAAUUCAGUUAUGAAGACCACAGUAUGGUGAGGGGGAAAUUGAUCGAAUCAAAGUUAAUAAAAUUAUAAAUUAUGUGUGGAUAAGAUGGCACAAGGGAGAAUGUGGACUUGUACAUCCAUACUGGAAUAUCAGGCUUAGAGAUAUACAUAACACAUUAAAUUAUUGUAAAAUAAAAAAAAA
This is a long non-coding RNA of Myotis lucifugus (little brown bat), 1138 nucleotides long. RefSeq lists it as uncharacterized. The record is from RefSeq and is a predicted model, not a curated record. Lineage: Eukaryota; Metazoa; Chordata; Mammalia; Chiroptera; Vespertilionidae. The transcript has 2 exons.